GUAGCUGGUCUGAGAGGACGACCAGCCACACUGGGACUGAGACACGGCCCAGACUCCUACGGGAGGCAGCAGUGGGGAAUUUUGGACAAUGGGCGCAAGCCUGAUGCAGCGACGCCGCGUGAGGGAUGACGGCCUUCGGGUUGUAAACCUCUUUCAGCAGGGAAGAAGCGAAAGUGACGGUACCUGCAGAAGAAGCACCGGCUAACUACGUGCCAGCAGCCGCGGUAAUACGUAGGGUGCGAGCGUUGUCCGGAAUUAUUGGGCGUAAAGAGCUUGUAGGCGGUUUGUCGCGUCUGCAGUGAAAAUCCGGGGCUCAACCCCGGACUUGCUGUGGGUACGGGCAGACUAGAGUGUGGUAGGGGAGACCGGAAUUCCUGGUGUAGCGGUGGAAUGCGCAGAUAUCAGGAGGAACACCGAUGGCGAAGGCAGGUCUCUGGGCCACUACUGACGCUGAGAAGCGAAAGCGUGGGGAGCGAACAGGAUUAGAUACCCUGGUAGUCCACGCCGUAAACGUUGGGGACUAGGUGUGGGUCUCAUUCCACGAGAUCCGUGCCGCAGCUAACGCAUUAAGUUCCCCGCCUGGGGAGUACGGCCGCAGGGUUAAAAUUCAAGGGAUUGACGGGGGCCCCGCCAAAGCGGGGGAGCAUGUGGAUAAUUUGGAUGAACCGGGAAGACCCUUACCAAGCCUGGACAUACACCGGAAACAUUCAGAGAUGGGUGCCCCGUAAAGUUCGGUGUACAGGUGGGCCAUGGUGGUGUCCAGCUCGUGUCGUGAGAUGUUGGGUUAAGUCCCGCAACGAGCGCAACCCUCGUUCCAUGUGGCCAGCAACACUUUUAGUGGUUGGGGACUCAUGGGAGACUGCCGGGGUCAACUCGGAGGAAGGUGGGGAUGACGUCAAAUCAUCAUGCCCCUUAUGUCUUGGGCUUCACACAUGCUACAAUGGCCGGUACAAAGGGCUGCGAUACCGCGAGGCGGAGCGAAUCCCAAAAAACCGGUCUCAGUUCGGAUUGGGGUCUGCAACUCGACCCCAUGAAGUCGGAGUCGCUAGUAAUCGCAGAUCAGCAACGCUGCGGUGAAUACGUUCCCGGGCCUUGUACACACCGCCCGUCAAGUCACGAAAGUCGGUAACACCCGAAGCCGGUGGCCCAACCCCUUGUGGGAGGGAGC
This 1168-nucleotide ribosomal RNA is filed under the name uncultured bacterium. RNAcentral describes it as "bacterial SSU rRNA". It matches the Rfam family "Bacterial small subunit ribosomal RNA", at positions 283 to 1453 of the family's 1533-position model. The record is from RNAcentral.